ACGCUCGACACCUACGGGCAGCAGUGGGGAAUAUUGGGCAAUGGGCGAAAGCCUGACCCAGCAACGCCGCGUGAGGGAAGAAGGUUUUCGGAUUGUAAACCUCUGUCCUCAGGGACGAAGGACGUGACGGUACCUGAGGAGGAAGCCCCGGCUAACUACGUGCCCGNNCGCGUAGUNUNGCGGCGUGNGAGAG
RNAcentral lists this ribosomal RNA (193 nucleotides) under uncultured bacterium. RNAcentral describes it as "partial 16S ribosomal RNA". It matches the Rfam family "Bacterial small subunit ribosomal RNA", at positions 326 to 540 of the family's 1533-position model. The record is from RNAcentral.